Molecule: ribosomal RNA, 253 nt
Filed under: uncultured bacterium
Lineage: Bacteria
Description: partial 16S ribosomal RNA
Rfam family: Bacterial small subunit ribosomal RNA
Source: RNAcentral
UACGAAGGGGGCUAGCGUUGCUCGGAAUCACUGGGCUUACAGGGUGCGUAGGCGGCUCAACAAGUCAGGUGUGAAAGCCCCCGGCUCAACCGGGGAACUGCGCUUGAAACUGUUAGGCUCGAGUCAGCUAGAGGUACACGGAACUUCCAGUGGAGCGGUGAAAUGUGUUGAUAUUGGAAGGAACACCGGAGGCGAAAGCGGUGUACUGGGGCUGGUCUGACGCUGAGGCACGAAAGCCAGGGGAGCGAACGGG